AUGAACGCUGGCGGCGUGCUUAAUACAUGCAAGUCGAACGAAGACAGUAGCAAUAUUGUCUGAGUGGCGAACGGGUGAGUAACGCGUUGGUGACCUGCCCCGAAGAGAGGGAUAACAGUCCGAAAGGAUUGCUAAUACCCCAUGUGGUCAUUUGGAUUAGAUGCCUUAUGACUAAACGGAUUUAUUCGCUUCGGGAGGGGCCUGCGUCCCAUCAGCUAGUUGGUAGGGUAAUGGCCUACCAAGGCUAUGACGGGUAGGGGACCUGAGAGGGUGGCCCCCCACAAUGGAACUGAAACACGGUCCAUACACCUACGGGUGGCAGCAGUAGGGAAUAUUGGUAAUGUGCGAAAGCGCGAACCAGCAACGCCGCGUGCACGAUGAAGGCCUUCGGGUCAUAAAGUGCUUUUAGAGAGGAUGAGGAAGGACAGUACUCUCUGAAUAAGCCUCGGCUAACUACGU
This 459-nucleotide ribosomal RNA is filed under the name uncultured bacterium. RNAcentral's name for it is "bacterial SSU rRNA". It matches the Rfam family "Bacterial small subunit ribosomal RNA", at positions 29 to 506 of the family's 1533-position model. The record is from RNAcentral.